This 85-nucleotide transfer RNA is filed under the name Caudoviricetes sp. Its description in RNAcentral is "tRNA-Leu". It matches the Rfam family "tRNA". From Rfam's summary of the family: Transfer RNA (tRNA) molecules are approximately 80 nucleotides in length. The record is from RNAcentral. Lineage: Duplodnaviria; Heunggongvirae; Uroviricota; Caudoviricetes.
GGAAGGGUGGCAGAGUGGUUUAUUGCGACGGCCUUAAAAUCCGUUAAUCCUUCGGGAUUCAGGGGUUCGAAUCCCCUUCCUUGAA